Felis catus (domestic cat) is the source of this 1262-nucleotide RNA transcript. It is a transcript of the gene named caudal type homeobox 1, with no coding region annotated. The record is from RefSeq and is a predicted model, not a curated record. NCBI's taxonomy places the organism in Eukaryota, Metazoa, Chordata, Mammalia, Carnivora, Felidae. The transcript is spliced from 4 exons.
GCCUUUGGGAGAAAAGGCAUCGGAUGUCAGGGCACAGGCGCGUCAGCACCUCCCCCCCGCGGCUGACCCUGGAGGAGGCCAUAUCUGCACAGUCCUUGAAGAACACACCUCCCUAAUCCAACAGAGACUGGAACCCGUGGCUCUGAAGCCUGCUUGUCCAGUGCCUGGUCCCCAGGGACUCCUUCUAGCCUCCUGGCCUCCUGAUCUUAGUGUCUCUCCAUCCUAAGCCUCAGAGUCCUUCAGCUAUGCUGUGUGCAGGCUGUGGGCAUGUUCUCCCGAAGGCCUCAGGAAAUCCUCGGGAAGCAAUUCCCAGGCCUCCAGUUCCUGCAUUACUUCCCAGGUUCAACGCUCCACCUCUACACGAUGACUCCCCCCACAAGCCUCAGGAUCACAUCAAGGCCAGAGAGGAUGACCAACCUGGCCCAAAUCACACAGCGAUGCAGCUUGGUCAUCCAGGCUCUACUCUGCCACGCUGCUUCUAGACCCAGAGGACCUUCAGUGUUUUCAGGUUACAGUUUUCCAUUAGUGGUCAUCGAUCCCGACCUCUUUCUGUAACGGAUGGAGAAAGGUCACUUUUCAGAAGGAGAAACCCAAGACCCAAGUGUGAAUUGGUGCAGAGGAAAAGAGACCUGCCCAGCAUCACCCGGUAUAGCUCAGAGUUCCAAACGAAUCACUUCUUGUCAUCUUGCAGCCCCUGGAGUACCAGGAAAGGAUUAUUUCUCCACCUUAUAGACGAUGAAAUGGAAGUCCGGAGAAGUGAAAUGAGCUUCCUGAGCUCACACAGCAAUGGCAGAACCGGGGCGGAAUCAGGCCUCCUGAGUUACAUGGUGAAACAGACACGGCCAAUCUGACCCCAAUGGAAGACCCACACCGCAGUGCAGACUGGGCCUCCCAUCCUGCCUCCUUCCUCUGUUAUCCCUUUCCCUGCCUCUCAUGCAGUCACUCAACAGGUAUUUUCGAGUACCUGCUCAUGUUCCAUUUCCAGCUUCUUGCCCUCCCUUCCCUACUAGGGUCUGCCAAGGACCCUCCAAAACCUGGCUGGAUCUCUGGCUCCCCCUACCUAGUCCACCCUCAUUUCCUCAGACCACUAGACGUCUCUAGUCACAGACUCCUGGCUCUUAGAUGCCCGAGGACAUCAUUUUAAAGGGCUUUAGUGGGGCGCCUGGGUGGCUCAGUCAGUCGAGCGUCCAACUCUUGAUUUCAGCCCAGGUCAUGAUCUCGCGGUUCGUGGACUCCGGCCCCACAUGUGUCAUCACGGAGCC